GUUCCGAGCCCUUAGGCGCGGGCGCGGGUCAGUGUUGGUAGUCCUUGCUCUUCCAGGUAUCGGAUUCCACGUGGGAGGACUCUGUCCUUCCAGAGAGGAGGAAAUGACCAAAUUCCAGAUUUCUUGGAUUUAUUGUGAGAUAUUUCUCUGCAUACUUGAUGUGAGCAUCAUUAAGGUUAUGGUCAUUUGCUAUCACAAGCCAUCUGCAGUGAGUAAAUCUUGCACAGGUAUCAUUUCACAAGUUUGCCCGGAAAUCUGAAGAAUAAAACCCCCAAGCUGGAAUGCUGAGUGCAUACAUUUAUGAUUUUGAUAGAUAAUUUUGUCAAAAUGUCCUUCUUUGGGGUGAUACCAAUUUACACUAACAAGCAUUGUGUCUUCAAGUUUUGGGUAACAGGUGGAAAAUGGUAUCUCAGUAUAGUUAGAGUUUAUUAUAAUAUACUGCUGUUUUUCAGUUUAUCAAUAUUUUGUAUUCUAUAUUGACUUUCUUACAUCACACAUGAGGAUUUAGCUCCUUUACGUUAUUUCCCCAGCAUGCCCAUCCUCCCAAGAUUUUUUUUUUUCAAUAUUUUAUUAAUUUGUCAGAGAGAGAGAGAGCACAGGCAGGCAGCACCCUCCAAGAUUUUAUGUCAGGGUCACAUCAGUGAUUAAUGCUUACAUUGCUUUGACCUCAUAACUCUUGUUCCUUGCAGGGUCAAGUACUGCACUAUUGAUUAUAGUUCCUUUUUUAUUUUUCCUUUCCUAAAGCUAAUGUUUGCUUUUUAACUUUGGGGUGAUUUCAUCCCAGACUAUUGUAUAACAUUUGAGUUAAUUUGGUUAAUUAUUGUUUUGUAUAGCAACAACUGAUUGAAUUUCAUUGUUUUAUUGACUUCUUUACUCACUGCUAUUUCUUGUAUCAUGUAUCAUUUUUUUCACAAUUACUUUUUCUCCGUAAUUGGAAGAUACUGCUCAGUUAUCCUUAGGUAUCCAGCAUUGCUAGUUGUUAGUUCAGUGUCAAAAGAAUUCUCAUUUAUUUGCACACAACCUGCCUUUUCUGUCUGGAUGCUUUUAGCAUUUUCUGGGAUUUGUUUCUUUCCUUGAAAUCCAGAGGUUUCCCACAUAACUAAAAGCAUUCAGUUAGCCAUGAAUUGUGGAUUCUACGAGAUUUUUAUCUAUUAGUGCUUUGAUCAUUUCUCUCCCUCAUUUUGUCUUCACUGUAUUCAUGGAACUCCUACAAUAUGGGCUUUUACUUUUAUCUUUCCAUCUUUCUGUCCUUUUACUCCACAUUCUAGGAGGAUCUCUCAGUCUUAAAACUUAUUAAACAUGUGUUAAUUUUGCUACUCGACCCAUCUAGAUUGCAGACCUUAAGAGCAGUCUCCCUGACAGUAGUUAUGACAGAAGUCACUUAACUUCUUCAACCUUGGGUUUCCUCAUGGGUAGAAUGGAGGUCCUAUGAGUUCUCUUACAUGAUAAUGCAGCUAGAGCCUGAGUGCUUCACAUGGGCCCGGUAGAUCUUAGUUAUUACAGUUGUUGCUUUUUUAAUCCUUGGGUUAAUUUAAAAGAAUUCUGAUUAUUUUUUAUAGCAAUGUGUUUAUAUUUUAUUAGAUUAUAUUGUUUUUCUAAAUGUGAUAUCCUCUCAGAUUUCUUUGGGAUUUUAAUUAUAUACUGUUUAAAUUCUGUUUCCUCUGUUCAUUAUUUCUUGAAGCCAAUCUUCAUUUAUGUUUGUUUUUUACUUUUUUUUGGUCUGCUUAUAUUAUUUUUAUUAUGUUGAUCUCAUAUUUCUUUUCAAGAGUCUUAUGUUCCGGGGCACCUGGGUGGCUCAGUUGGUUCAGUGUCUGCUUUUGGCUGAGGUCAGGGUCCCAGGAUCCUGAGAUCAGGGCUCUGCUUUGGGCUUCCCACUCCAUGGGGAGCCUGCUUCUCCCUCUGCCCCUCCUCCCUACUUGUGUUUUUUCUCUCUUUCUCUCUCUCUCAAAUAAAUAAAUAAAAUCUUUUUUUAUUGUUGUUAAAGAUUUUAUUUAUUUAUAUGACAGACAGAGAUCACAAGUAGGCAGAGAGGCAGAGAGAGAGAGAGAGAGGAGGAAGCAGGCUCCUUGCUGAGCAGAGAACCCGAUGUGGGGCUCGAUCCCAGGACCACCCCAGGAUCAUGACCUGAGCCGAAGGCAGAAGCUUUAACUCACUGAGCCACCCAGGUGCCCCUAAAUAAAAUCUUUUAAAAAUCUUUUGAAAAAAAAAGUCUUAUAUUCACGGUAUGGUACUGGACUAUACCUCCUCAGCUGAUGCUUGACCCUCUCUGGUGCAUUCAUGCUGUCCUUACAGAGGAGGCAUCUGCUGAUUGGGCUUGAGGUGACUAUAAGAAUCCACACGGAGGGUGAUUCUACAACCACCUAUUUGAUGUUGCCUUUUCAGUCCAAUGAGUUACCUGGGACAUCCUACGCCUCUCAAGCUCUAGCUCUGAGGUAUCUCCC
Molecule: RNA transcript, 2441 nt
Organism: Mustela lutreola (European mink)
Lineage: Eukaryota; Metazoa; Chordata; Mammalia; Carnivora; Mustelidae
Gene: ZNF239
Gene name: zinc finger protein 239
Exons: 4
Source: RefSeq, a predicted model, not a curated record